Long non-coding RNA from Grus americana (Whooping crane), 1285 nucleotides. RefSeq lists it as uncharacterized. The record is from RefSeq and is a predicted model, not a curated record. Lineage: Eukaryota; Metazoa; Chordata; Aves; Gruiformes; Gruidae. The transcript is spliced from 2 exons.
GGAUGAAGAUGGUAUCAUUCACCUCAUGAACUACGGAGCCAGGACACGAAAUGAACUUUUUCUGUGUAGCCAUGUAUCAUACCGUAGCAUCCGCUGGCACCCUUAGUACAGAGACGAUCCAUAAAGUUAGCUUGAGAGGUUACCACUCCCAAGACUCAGUGGCAGGACAGAACAUGGACACACACGGACACUUCCCUGAUGCGACACCAGGCAGCUGGGUUUGCGCUCACCUUCAUCAACUGUCUAAACCAUCAGAUUCUGCACAUCAGUGACUGAAUCCUACCUACAUGCUGCUACUGUAGCAAACGCUUCUGCUACAAAAGCAGAAACCAAAGUCUGAGGGCACAGGGACAUCUUAAACUGCCACAGUUUUGCACUAGGUGACCAUGUAUCACUGUUACCUAAAUCCCUGCCUCUACUAGAGUCUGUCAGUGCACCAGUACCAGCCAAGUCUUAUUAUGAAAAGUUACUUUAGGUCAACAUGCGAGUUCAGUGGGAGCAUACGUUUUAGCAGUUUCCCAGAAGAAAAAAAAUAAAAAAAGGAAAAACAUUUACUUUUUCCAUAAUGGCAUCUUCUCUAGAUUUUUCUCCUAGUAUAAAUAUGUUUCUUAUGGCUACAAUUUUCUACUCAUCCUUCUGAUGGACCUAUAUUGGAAAAACUUUUAAAUACUGACUGUGACUUUCUACCCAUUCAGCCAAACAAAUAUAUUUUUUACCCCACCUUCUUUCUCAUAGAAUUAUACACAGACAUAUGCCAUUAAAAGGUCAUUCUACAGUACCUAUUACUUUGGGGGGGUGGGUGGGUGUGAAAUGUAAAAAAAAUCAGGAGCUGCAAAUUAAGUACAGUGUUAUCAGAUCCAUCUGUAAAAAUAAUCCUCUCAUUUGGAUGCCUCAAACAGAAUACAGCUACAACUAAUACCCCUUCUUAAAUGCCAGGAUUAUUCCUCCCUAGACAGAGGGUGCUUUCAUGCUCAGAUUUGGAUUUUGUGUGAAGCAGGGAGUUAGUCAGCGAAGUUUUUACUAUCGUUUGUCCCAGCGUGCUCUGAAGCCUGUAGUGCCAAAGUCCUCACUGCAGCCAGUUCCGUUCUUCCCCGCCGUUUCUAAUCGUGGCAGAUUCUUUAUUCUGUACGCAAGCUCAGGAGCAACCCUCAAUGCCUGUGAAGUUCGCUCAGGUAGCACUGGGAUAGGAAGUGAUUUACAUUUGCUGUAUGUAAAAAUAAAGUUAAACAGAGCAAGAAACGUAUUCACCCUUGAAUCUGUCUUCCCAAUAAAGCAGUUUAAACGA